AACAUAUGGCACUACAAGAUAUGCAGUAUGCCAGGGACCUGGGACAGUCUUCCCACCAUCAUUGCCCCAGCUCUGUAAAGCAUCAUUCUUGUUGUCAGGGGUUCAGGAGCAGAGGCAAGGGCAAGGGAGGAAACAGAGAGUGAGGGGGAGGAGGCAGAAGAGAAAAUGAGUGAUGACGACGACCCGAGAUCUCCGAGUCUUUCCAGUGAAUCAGACGAUUCACAGAAAGGAGCACCAGUGGCCAGGGCAAGGGGGGAGACUAGGGGGACACCCCAGGAAGAAAGGGCCAGAGGGGGCUCAGAGGGGAGCAGUGGGAAAUCGGGACCAGCGUCACCCACAGAGAGCAGGGGAGAGGAAGGGCGCCAGGUAUCAAGCGCUGGUAGCUCACAACAGGAGGGAGGGCACGAGUCAGGAGUGGCCACACCUCCAUCGGGGAGCGAAGAAACGGUCAGACGGGGCAGAGGGACCCAGAGAAGAACAGUCAGGCGGAAAAGGUGGAGUAAGGCUAGGGUAUUAAGUUGGUGUACAGGGGGCGGAGACUCAGACGGAGCUUCGCCGGUCUAGCCCUUAAGACGUAGAGUUGCGUGCAGCAGCUUGAGAAUGGAAACUGUAACUCAAUAAAAGACUUUUACAAGUGACCGCUGGCUAGCGUGAUCCUCUGUGAGCUAGGAUCUGGAAGCAGCUCUGACAGUAAGCUCCGUCUCCCGUUGUGGGCAUCUUCAGCCUCGCGGACAGAGGAAAAGGGGGGUGCCCACGACUCA
Molecule: long non-coding RNA, 761 nt
Filed under: Podarcis muralis (Common wall lizard)
Lineage: Eukaryota; Metazoa; Chordata; Lepidosauria; Squamata; Lacertidae
Description: lncRNA (ENSPMRG00000011926.1)
Source: RNAcentral